This is a long non-coding RNA of Phyllostomus discolor (pale spear-nosed bat), 245 nucleotides long. RefSeq lists it as uncharacterized. The record is from RefSeq and is a predicted model, not a curated record. Lineage: Eukaryota; Metazoa; Chordata; Mammalia; Chiroptera; Phyllostomidae. The transcript has 4 exons.
CACAGCAAAGGACUAGAAGGAGCCAGUUACCAAGAAUCAUUGUACAAUGCUUUGCAGUCUCUAAGAGACAGAGAAUUCUCCAUAUUUUGAGAAAGUCUCAAAUAUGCUAGAGUAAGAGAAGUGGAAGAGCUGUGUAAGGGCAGCCUCGAGUCUGUGUAUUCACUGUACCCCACACUGAGCAGAUUACAGGCCAUCGGAGAGCUGGAAAACAUCGGGGAGCUUUUCUCAAGAUCAUUUAUGGACAA